AUUUCAUGGUUAGGUCAUUUUAUAAGCUUAUCCUUAAAUCUCCCCCAUGCUUCAUACCAAGGCUCCCCAUGGAAUUGAUGGAAAUUUAUUAUUCUAUCUCGUAAUU
Molecule: small nucleolar RNA, 106 nt
Organism: Capsicum annuum
Lineage: Eukaryota; Viridiplantae; Streptophyta; Magnoliopsida; Solanales; Solanaceae
Source: RefSeq, a predicted model, not a curated record